GCUCCACCUCCCCCUUUGUGAACUUGUUGCUUCGGGGGCGACCCUGCCGACACUUCGUCGCCGGGCGCCCCCGGAGGUCUUCUAAACACUGCAUCUUUGCGUCGGAGUUUAAAACAAAUUAAACAAAACUUUCAACAACGGAUCUCUUGGUUCUGGCAUCGAUGAAAAACGCAGCGAAAUGCGAUAAGUAAUGUGAAUUGCAGAAUUCAGUGAAUCAUCGAAUCUUUGAACGCACAUUGCGCCCUUUGGUAUUCCGAAGGGCAUGCCUGUUCGAGCGUCAUUUCACCACUCAAGCCUGGCUUGGUAUUGGGCGUCGCGGUAUUCCGCGCGCCUUAAAGCCUUCCGGCUGAGCUGUCCGUCUCUAACCGUUGUGGAUUUUUCAAUUCGCUUCGGAGUGCGGAUGGCCGCGGCCGUUAAACCUUUAUUCAAAGG
Molecule: small RNA, 432 nt
Filed under: Pseudocercospora sp. 2219 FePP
Lineage: Eukaryota; Fungi; Ascomycota; Dothideomycetes; Mycosphaerellales; Mycosphaerellaceae
Description: eukaryotic LSU rRNA
Rfam family: 5.8S ribosomal RNA (bases 127-280)
Source: RNAcentral